RNAcentral lists this ribosomal RNA (425 nucleotides) under uncultured bacterium. RNAcentral's name for it is "bacterial SSU rRNA". It matches the Rfam family "Bacterial small subunit ribosomal RNA", at positions 355 to 794 of the family's 1533-position model. The record is from RNAcentral.
UAGGGAAUAUUGGGCAAUGGGCGCAAGCCUGACCCAGCAACGCCGCGUGAGGGAAGAAGGUUUUCGGAUUGUAAACCUCUGUCCUAUGUGACGAAGGAAGUGACGGUAGCAUAGGAGGAAGCCCCGGCUAACUACGUGCCAGCAGCCGCGGUAAUACGUAGGGGGCGAGCGUUGUCCGGAAUUACUGGGCGUAAAGGGUGCGUAGGCGGUUAAUUAAGUUAGAUGUGAAAUACCCGGGCUUAACUUGGGGGGUGCAUCUAAUACUGGUAAACUAGAGUACAGGAGAGGAAAGCGGAAUUCCUAGUGUAGCGGUGAAAUGCAUAGAUAUUAGGAGGAACACCAGUGGCGAAGGCGGAUUGCUGGACGAUAACUGACGGUGAGGCGCGAAAGCGUGGGGAGCAAACAGGAUUAGAUACCCUGGUAGU